UACGGGGGGGGCAAGCGUUGUUCGGAAUUACUGGGCGUAAAGGGCUGGUAGGCGGCCAACUAAGUCCGACGUGAAAUCCCAAGGCUUAACCUUGGAACUGCGUCGGAUACUGGAUGGCUUGAGAUUGGGAGAGGGAUGCGGAAUUCCAGGUGUAGCGGUGAAAUGCGUAGAUAUCUGGAGGAACACCGGUGGCGAAGGCGGCAUCCUGGACCGAUACUGACGCUGAGGAGCGAAAGCCAGGGGAGCAAACGGG
RNAcentral lists this ribosomal RNA (253 nucleotides) under uncultured bacterium. RNAcentral describes it as "partial 16S ribosomal RNA". It matches the Rfam family "Bacterial small subunit ribosomal RNA", at positions 524 to 776 of the family's 1533-position model. The record is from RNAcentral.